Molecule: long non-coding RNA, 3191 nt
Organism: Mauremys mutica (yellowpond turtle)
Lineage: Eukaryota; Metazoa; Chordata; Testudines; Geoemydidae
Exons: 4
Source: RefSeq, a predicted model, not a curated record
CCCAGGGACUCUGCCAAUCUGCCCUGGAGGAAAAUUUCUUCCCGAGUCCAAAUAAGGUGAUCAGCUAAACCCUGAGCAUGUGGACAAGACUCACCUCAACCCAAUAAGAGCACGCAGGCCUGGGCAGCGCAGGUCUGUAACAGGGAAAGGAGAGUGCUUUCCCCUGGGCUGCAGAGCCUAGGGCUUAGCCAAACUGAUUGCAGAAUGAGUCUUACCUCAGAGGGACCAUGUAUUGGCCCCGAAAGAACCAGACUUCAGCGGCGAUAAAGCCCAGCUGGGCUAUGCACUGGAACGAGAACCAGGUAGGAAGUUGAAAGCAGCAAGGAAAGCCUAGAAGGGAACUGGAGAAGAGAGGUAGGAUGCGCCCAGGGAAACUUGCAGCAAAGAGAAAAGAGCAGACCUAGCUGUUGAGUACAGAGCCCUGGGCUGCUACCUGUGUCAGGGUGGGACCGGGUUCCUCUACUGGCCCAAAAGAAGGGGGCAUGCACGCACCCAGAGAGGGUUACCAAGCCCAGCAAGGGAGCUGCAGGCUGAGCCAGAGCCCCAGCGAGAGCAGAAGAACGUUUUUCUCUGGGAAGACCUCUUUGGACUUUUAGUGUGUGACAAGCUGAGCCCCCAAAGCACUAGGUGGUGAGCCGGCCAGAGGGCCAAAUUACCAGGCAGAGAGACUGCCAUGGUGCUGGAGUGACCAUCGAUGGAGGACCAGAGGGCACCUAACAAUGAGAAAAUUCAUUUAUUAUUGGCAUAGUCAGCAGCACUGAAUUCCCCCUGUCAUCCAUGAGGGCUCAUGGAAGUCUUGGUUACUGAAGGAAGGUCCAUCCCCCGAAGUGGGAUUUCCAAUUUGAGUUCCAGGGACUGGGUAAGCAGCCAAGGCAGCAGCUCCUAGAAACCCAACAGAAGCAGAAGGAAGUGCAAGCAGAGCUACAGAGGCAGCUGGUAAUCUUUAGGGAGCAGCAGCAAUACCUGUGAGAGAUCCUGCAAAGGGAAAUCAACCUGUCUUGGUUACUGAAGGAAGGUCCAAAGUGGGAUUUCCCAUUUGAGUUCCAGGGACUGGUUAAGCAGCCAAGGCAGCGCUCAGGAUUUCUCCAGCAGCUCCUAGAAACCCAACAGAAGCAGAAGGAAGUGCAAGCAGAGCUACAGAUGCAGCUGGUAAUCUUGAGGGAGCAGAGAUCCUGCAAAGGGAAAUCAACCUGCUACGCCCAUGGACAAAAAGAGCUGCCUCAGAGAGCAUGCCGGGGCUGUGCUGAGAGGGUUAGCCCAGGAGAGCAGGGCAUGAGAAAGUGUACAAGCAUAGCCUAAUGCCAACCUGGGAACAAAAGUUCUUUGGUUUGGGUGCAGAGAAGCAGGCCAUAUGGAAAGACCCGUCCUGCAUAGGAAAGUCCUGAGUGGCAAAAGGAGGGGCCAGAGCCUCAAGAAGGUAUAAAGAAAGGAGAAGGUGUCCUCUUAAACAAACACACCUGAGGCAGGCUAGGUGGAGAUGUCAGGGAUGGCCGUGGACCUUGCAGACCCUCCUCCAACAUACCCUGUUGGGUGCUGCAGGGAGGUGAAGGAUGAAAUGGUUGGCACAGAGAUGAAUCAGGCACAAGAGUUGAGCAGUGGUGUGUGCUGAGACCCUGAUGGAAAAGGUUUUGGGGGAUGCAGCGGCAGUAGAAAAAAGGCUACGGAAGAAGCUGGUGGCUUCAGAACAAGGCUCUGCAAGCAGUUGUUUAUGAGAAUGAGUGGCUGCAGGAAGAGCACUGGGAUACUGCAGAAGAGAAGGAUGGCCUCUGAGUUCUGGUGAGCGAGGUGGCAGGGGAGCUGGAGUCGCCGCUCGCCCAGGCUGUACGAGUGCAUAGCUGGUGCCAGCGACGUGAUGGUGAGGGAUGAAGAUUGGACAAGAGUAGAACUUGGCCCUGGGUUGGGCCGGAUUUUAAGAAGGAGGGUAUAUAACUGGGUGGCUUGGCCUGUGGCUGCAAAGCCUGGAGCUAGGCCAGAUUGAUGACCAAGUGAGCCCCACCUGAGAGGAAACAAGGGAAAACAGCAGCAAAAGUGCAGAAGCAGACCUAGCUGUUCAAUAUACGGCCUUGGCCAAAACCUGGAGUCCAGGGUAGGACUGGGUUCUCCCACCGUCCCUAAGGAAGGGGACAUAGAAGACCAUAGAAACCCAAGAAGGGCAGACCAAGCUGAAAUCAGGCUGAGGACGAGCUCCCCACGAGGGUGGAAGGCCUUGUUUCUGUUCAAGACAUUUUUGGACUUUGUUUGGAAGGAGCUUGACCCAGGAAGGAGUGGACUAAAGGACAGUCACCUGGUUGGAGGGCUGAGUUCCCAAGAGUGACUAUCAACGGGGUUACUAGCCCAGCUAGAAAGCAGUGACACGAGGCCUGGCCAGGAACUAGCGUCUCUGUCCCAGCCUCUUCCACAGACGUAUGCUGCAGCCAGCCCAGCUCAGACCGCAGUGGGGAGAGAUGAUCUCAUCCUGUCAAACCAAGCAACAUGGGUCCCAUUGAGGCUUAGAUGGAAGAUCCCACACAUCUCCUGGAGAGGAUGUGUCCGGGAUCCUGGAGACUGUUUCCUGCAGGAGGUUUGAGCGGGGAGAGAUCACUCAGAGUCAUGACCCAUGGGUCAUUAACCCGGGUCUGCAGGGUUCACGGGAGCAGCCACACUCCAGCAGGCCACCUGGAAGCCUACUAAAAACUGCUUACCUAGGACUUACGAAGUCCAGACCCAGUUUGAGGCGCCAUCCCUGAGGCCUAUUGGCCGGGUCCCAGAGCAGCUAAUCGGCCCCCGGGACCUCCUUAAACCAACAGCAGGAACAAGAAUCUGUCUGAACACCCGAGCUCCCCCGUCUUCUGGACCAUGUGUUAGCUGUUCCUGCUCCCACUCCCCAGGCUUGAUUUCCUGGCAUCCUGACUCGCUGUAACUCAUCUGAGUUGAGGUUCUGAACACAGUUUGGUCUUUUGCUUCUGCUUCUCCAGUAUCCUGACCCAGCUGACUCUCAACUCCUGUCUUCUGAGAGUGGACUCUGCCUCUGACCACUAGGUCUGGCUGCCCAUGACCCUGCCAUGACACUGACUUUUCUACAAUUCCUCCAGUGCCCUUUUCUGCUCUCCAGCUCUGCUCUCCCAGCAAGACACACCAAUCAUAGGCGGCAGGCCAUGGAGAAUUCCUGCUGCCUGAGAAACUUCCCAGAAGAAGCUACCAGGACUGGGGGA